UCCGUCCGGGCCACACGACCAGGGUGUGGCAGUCGCGCACCGCCGAUGCGCUCGGGUGCCGAGUGCUCCCCCCCGCUCCCUGCAGUGCGAGGAGAGCGCGGGGAGAUAUGGUGGGGGGAAAAGAGGGGGGGCGUGUGCGAGCAGGCGUGGCUGCUUCGAAGGGAGGCCGAGUGGGGGCGUGGCGUGGCGGUGGGCCCCUUGGGGUCGCUCUUCCCUCCCCUCUGCGACGCCGCCGGCGGCCCGUCCCGUCCUGUCGCGCGCGCGCGCACCCGCGGCCCUCGCUCCCUAGCCGGCCCUACAGCUGCGGCCGCUCCUUCGCGGACUACGCGCUGAAGUUCGCGGACGUCGUCCUGGGCGGGCGGCCGUAGUCGCCGCGCGGCGUGCUGUUGUUGUAGUGGGAGACCUUGCGGCAGUAUAAACCCGGCCUACUGUGCGGCACCCUACCUCCAUGCAAGUUCGACUGGGACGUUAAGUGUCUUCUAAUGGGGUUGUUCGGUGGUUGACAAGCCAAACAGAGUUCCUACAAAGUGGGUUUGUUACCUUCGUAGACGAACCUAUAGGAUGUCUUGGUCACCUCGGGAUAUAUACUACAACGCCGCUAUAACUGGAGAUAGGUCAGGGACGACACGCUGGGCUUGGGCUUAAGAGGACGCUUGAGACUUCGUCGGUCUUACAUGUCGCUCUUGUUCGCGCUCAUGUUGGCGUUCCAAGCACUCCAGCACCUCGUCUCGACCUGUCGCCUGAUCGCAGCGGUCUAGGACGUUAUUCGCUGCGGUCCUUGCAGCGGUAAAGACCGAAACGACACGAACACUGGACAAACCACUUGAUUCCGUACAAUCGGUAACAUUUCUAAAAUACAAUAUCGAUUCUUCAACCACGACGAACGCUCAGAAAUUUGGGAACCA
Molecule: ribosomal RNA, 905 nt
Filed under: Triticum aestivum (bread wheat)
Lineage: Eukaryota; Viridiplantae; Streptophyta; Magnoliopsida; Poales; Poaceae
Description: partial small subunit ribosomal RNA
Source: RNAcentral